GGGAAAGGACGGACGGGUUAAGUAGCCAAUCACCAAUUGCGCUCCAGCCAGAGGGGAGAUGCUCUUGGGGAGCCUGGGGUGCUCCCAAUGCAAUCACAAAGAUCUUUAAAAGUGGAAGAAGAUGGGAGAGGUCAGAGUGCUACGAAGAGAACUCAGUCUACCACUGCUGGCUUUGAAGAUGGAAGAAUGGGGCUAUGAGCCCUGGAUUUUGGGCAGCCUGCAGAAGCUGGGGCAGAGAUUCCACACAGGCACCUCUAGAAAAUAAUGCAGCCAGCCAAUCCUUAGACUUUAUCCCAGUGAGAGUCAAGUUGGACUUCUGACCUACAAAAGAAUAUUAGAAACAAGAUGUGAAGAAAUUAAGAGAUGUCCAAGUUCGAAGGAGCCAGCUGUUAGUUCAGGCAAAGUCUUAUCUAGAGUGCAUCAUCAUCGUAUGCUCUGGGUUCUGAAUUAAACCUGAAAUGCAGGUCCAGGGGGUAAAUUGUGUGUCACUGAGACUUCGUGUGCAAAUGAUCCCAUCACCAAGGUAAAUAUCUAAAUUAUCUGUGGCAACAACUUGGUGGGGUCAACUCGAAUGUUUUUGUCGGUUGUUCUUGAAGACUUCUGGGUCUCUACAACCACAUUCUUUGGCUGGUGCCAGUGUUUAAGCACUCUGAAACUGCAUAGCAGCAUGUUUGAAGGUGGCCUGUCAAAUUUGGGAAGCUGACGGUGUGACUGAGCUAGUCACAGGGGUCUUCACAGAAAAGGCAGUCAGGGUCCUGGUCAACUGGAGAUUCCAUCUGAAUGGUGAGUGAGUGCAUCGUAAAGCUUUUGCUAAGGGCUUUAGCAAUUUCUCUCCGAACCACUUGGCUGUCCCGGCUGGCUGC
This 863-nucleotide long non-coding RNA is filed under the name Pan troglodytes (chimpanzee). RNAcentral's name for it is "long non-coding RNA NONPTRT017217". Lineage: Eukaryota; Metazoa; Chordata; Mammalia; Primates; Hominidae. The record is from RNAcentral.